AUUGAACGCUGGCGGCAGGCCUAACACAUGCAAGUCGAACGGAUGAACGGUGCUUGCUUCUGGUUUCCGCGGCGGACGGGUGAGUAAUGCAUAGGAAUCUCCCUGGUAGUGGUUUAUUACGUCCUGACGCGGGCGCUCCUACCCCAUACUUCCUGAGGGAGAAAGUGGGGGAUCUUCGGACCUCACGCUCUCAGAUGAGUCUAGGUCGGAUUAGAUAGUUGGUGGGUUAAAGGCCUACCAAGGCGACGAUCCGUAACUGGUCUGAGAGGAUGAUCAGUCACACUGGAACUGAGACACGGUCCAGACUACUACGGGAGGCAGCAGUGGGGAAUAUGGGACAAUGGGCGAAAGCAUGAUACAGCCAUGCCGCGUGUGUGAAGAAGGCCUUCGGAUUGUAAAGCACUUUAAGUGGGGAGGAAGGGCAGUAGGUUAAUACCUAGCUGUUGUGACGGUACCAAGAGAAUGAGCACCGGCUAACUUCGUG
RNAcentral lists this ribosomal RNA (484 nucleotides) under uncultured bacterium. RNAcentral's name for it is "partial 16S ribosomal RNA". It matches the Rfam family "Bacterial small subunit ribosomal RNA", at positions 30 to 507 of the family's 1533-position model. The record is from RNAcentral.